This 788-nucleotide long non-coding RNA is filed under the name Medicago truncatula (barrel medic). Its description in RNAcentral is "lncRNA gene45243". Lineage: Eukaryota; Viridiplantae; Streptophyta; Magnoliopsida; Fabales; Fabaceae. The record is from RNAcentral.
UAUAUAGCAAGAUCAGACCAACCAUGAUUAUCAUUCCAACAGUUUGAACCACCAUUUUGCAAACCAAGAAAGAUCUCUGAUUCACCAUUUCUACCACCCUGGUUUUGACCCAAAUCCGUAUUCACAACCGGGUCACAGUUCAAAUUCUCACCAAAUUCACCCAUUUCCACCAUUUUUAAACCCGACCCAUUUGAAUUCAGACCUUCAAAAAGGUUUCCAAAUCGCUCAGUUGAUGCAAGAAGUGAACUAAAACUCCCUCCACUGAAAUUUCUCUCAGCCGGGUCAACAUGAAUCUGGGUCGGGUCAGUUUCUGAAACUGAAGCCGAAACUUUUGCUGCUGAAGAACUGGUUGUUGAUGCUGAUGGAGAAGAAGAAGAUGGUGUUGUUGAACGUUUGGAAUUUGAUGAACGUUUUGUGACUUUUCUUGUUCCACCACCAACUGGUAUGUUCCUCAAAGCACCACCUUUUGUCCAAUAUCUUUUACAGUUUUUGCAAAAAUGGCGUGGUUGUGAGAGAUUGUAGUUGUUGUAGUAGCAGAAUUUUGUGUUGUUUGAUUCACAACGUGGACAUUUGAGUUGUUCUUGUUCUGGAAAAUUUGGUUUCAUGGGUUGAAAUGUUGUUUGGUCUUGCAUCUUUAUGUCACUAAAAGGUAACAACUUGAAAAGGAAAUUAGGGUUUUGAAGUUUUGUUUGAUAUUUCAAUAAAGUUCAAAGCUUUGAGCUUAGUAAGAUCCAAAAUGAACUUUUGGUGAAAAUGGGUUGUUAUUUAUGUUGGGUUUAGAAGAUGUG